GACGAACGCUGGCGGCGUGCUUAACACAUGCAAGUCGAACGGAAAGGCCCUGCUUUUGUGGGGUGCUCGAGUGGCGAACGGGUGAGUAACACGUGAGUAACCUGCCCUUGACUUUGGGAUAACUUCAGGAAACUGGGGCUAAUACCGGAUAGGAGCUCCUGCUGCAUGGUGGGGGUUGGAAAGUUUCGGCGGUUGGGGAUGGACUCGCGGCUUAUCAGCUUGUUGGUGGGGUAGUGGCUUACCAAGGCUUUGACGGGUAGCCGGCCUGAGAGGGUGACCGGCGACAACGUUGCGACGGUGCGACGGAGACGACUACGAGGGGCAGCAGUAGUGGGGAAUACUGAAUAAUGGGCAGUAUGAUGAAGCAGCGACGCGGGGGGGGUGACGGCCUUCGGGUUGUAAACCGCUUUCGCCUGUGACGAAGCGUGAGUGACGGUAAUGGGUAAAGAAGCACCGGCUAACUACGUG
This 468-nucleotide ribosomal RNA is filed under the name uncultured bacterium. RNAcentral's name for it is "partial 16S ribosomal RNA". It matches the Rfam family "Bacterial small subunit ribosomal RNA", at positions 28 to 507 of the family's 1533-position model. The record is from RNAcentral.